This 60-nucleotide ribosomal RNA is filed under the name Erysiphe aquilegiae. RNAcentral describes it as "partial 28S rRNA". It matches the Rfam family "Eukaryotic large subunit ribosomal RNA", at positions 1 to 59 of the family's 3401-position model. The record is from RNAcentral. Lineage: Eukaryota; Fungi; Ascomycota; Leotiomycetes; Helotiales; Erysiphaceae.
UUGACCUCGAAUCAGGUAGGAAUACCCGCUGAACUUAAGCAUAUCAAUAAGCGGANGAAA